AGUUUGAUGCAAAUGUCAGAUCGUAUGCGCCUGUUAGGGCGCGGCUGGUAAGAGAGCCUUACAGGCGCAUCAGAAAAACCUCCGGCUAUGCCGGAGGAUAUU
RNAcentral lists this small RNA (102 nucleotides) under Salmonella enterica subsp. enterica serovar Typhi. Its description in RNAcentral is "StyR-24". Lineage: Bacteria; Pseudomonadati; Pseudomonadota; Gammaproteobacteria; Enterobacterales; Enterobacteriaceae. The record is from RNAcentral.